CUCUGCCUUCCCGCUCCGAAAUCCGAACACGUAAGCUGGUCCUUCCCUGUAUCUACUGGUAGAGGAGAGCGCGAGACCAGGCGACCAAGAGACACAGUAAUUCAGAUCCGAUCUUUAAAGGAAAAGAAUAGGUUUGGCAUUAGCUACAUUUGAAGACUACUUCAAAGCUUGUCCUCACUGAAGGCUCCUGCUAGCCUUCAGCUGCCACCAUGAAGAAGCUCAAGACACCCCCAUGGAGAACUGAAGCCCCACAUGACCUCAGGCCCUAGCUGAACUUCCAGAUAGCACCUACCAACAAUUUUCAACCUUGGGUGUGAGGACAUUUGGACCUUCUUUCUUCUACACCUCGGAGAAUGGAGUCCUCAACGUGUAGUCCGUGAGUGUGAUUGGGGAAAACAGGCCACUUUUCUGGCUUCAGUUACACACAGGGCACUGUUGGACCAGCCCUGGCAAGGUGGAAUGAGCCGACCUCUGCAGAUUGUUUAUUCACUUCCAAGGCCUACUGUCUUAGGCAGACUGACUUCUUGGUCCAGCAACAAAAGCUUUUCCACUUACGGGAGAAGACCUAAACCCAACACGCAGAUAGAGGCCUCCCGGAGGCCCUGAUACCCCCGUGGGCUCCGCUCUCUGUACCGUCUCUGACGUCACUGCCCCGCUGCACUCCCGUAGCAGAAUGGUUCCUGGAAGCCUUCCAGAAGAAACCUCCCUAAGGUGCCUUUUCAAGCUGCUGUGAGCGCUUUGAGUUCAAAUUAACUCCUGAGCCAUGCUCAAACCUGACCACAUUUGACUAUGAGGAUAAGGGUGACCCAGCAUCUGCAGUUUCCUGAAGAAUGCCUACAGAUGUUGUCCAUACUCGUGAAGCAGAUUAGCUGUUGUCAUAGACAAAUACAGCUGUAACUAAUUGUCCCAGGCAGGGCCUCUGAAACCAAGGACUGAACUGCAUUAUUUGAUUGGACUGAGAAUCUAGGGUGGGAGUAAAAGGCCAGGUUGAUUGCUGUUUUAACCUGUACUGCCUGACUAAUAUGUGUCUUGCACGGUAUGGCCCAACAAUUGUAAACACUUUGCUUCCACUGGAACCGUAGGUACCCUCUGGGAUUGUACUUUUUGUGUUUGUGCCCCGACUAUCCUAACCCUAGAAGUCUUUCAGGUCAGAUUCAAGUUACUGGCCAGAAUUGUGCUGUGCCUGGAUUAAUGCUUUGGGCCAGGUGAAAGGAAGGUUAAUAUAAAAACUUUAGGCCACCUGGAUUUCUCAGCGCUAUUUAUCUGGUUAAUUGGAUUUGUUUGAACUGGGUAAAUAAACGAUCUGUAAGAGGCAAAACUGAGAUCAGUUCUGCAAGUUGGACUGUGCAUGAGCGAGAUCCUGUCUCUGCAAAAAAUAGAAAAAUUAUCUGGGCAUGGUGGCACACACCUAUAGUUCCAGCUACUCCAGAGGUUGAGGCAGGAGGAUCGCCUGAGCCCAGGAGUUUGAAGUUGCAGUGAGUUGUGAUGACAUCACUGCACUCCAGUCUGGGCAAUAAGGCAAGACUUGGUCUCAGAGAAAAAGAAAAAGAAAAAGAAAAAUAGUGCAGGUUGCUCUCACCCUACUGCAUGGGGUCCUAUUGAUAAUGCUUUUGUUGUAAAGAUGCCUUGGCCAAGAGGAUAGACUGUGCAGAAAAAGAGUUUACAUGGCAGGUCUGAACCUGCUUGUCCUUGGAAAGUCCUGCUUAUAGACUGGGCUUUUGACUGAUAUCUGGGAACUAGAAUUUAGAGAGAGUUCCUCCCCUUCCCAGAAUUGAUAAGAGUGGCUCAUUGUGCCUAAACUGUUUGUAUAAACAAUUUGGUUUAUGUUGAACACCUGCUUUCCUUCUGGGAGUCUGGAAUUUUGGCAUGUUCAAGGCAGCGGGUGGUUAGCCAGUGCCAAAAACACUAAGUCUCUCAUGAGCUUCCCUGGUAGAGAGCAUUUCACACAUUGUCACAACUUGUUGGUGGGGGACUUAAGUAUGUCCUGUGUGAUUCCACUGGAGAAGUCUUAGAACCUCACGGCUGAUGUCCUCCACACUUUGCCCAUGUGCCUUUUCCCUUUGCUGGCUUUGUUUUGUAUCCUUUCACUGUAAUAAA
Molecule: long non-coding RNA, 2097 nt
Organism: Nycticebus coucang (slow loris)
Lineage: Eukaryota; Metazoa; Chordata; Mammalia; Primates; Lorisidae
Exons: 5
Source: RefSeq, a predicted model, not a curated record